RNAcentral lists this ribosomal RNA (490 nucleotides) under uncultured bacterium. Its description in RNAcentral is "partial 16S ribosomal RNA". It matches the Rfam family "Bacterial small subunit ribosomal RNA", at positions 29 to 506 of the family's 1533-position model. The record is from RNAcentral.
AGCGAACGCUGGCGGUAGGCCUAACACAUGCAAGUCGAACGGCAGCACAGUAAGUGCUUGCUCUUACGGGUGGCGAGUGGCGGACGGGUGAGGAAUACAUCGGAAUCUACUUUUUCGUGGGGAUUACGUAGGGAAACUUACGCUAAUACCGCAUACGACCUACGGGUGAAAGCAGGGGGUCUUCGUACCUUGCGCGAUUGAAUGAGCCGAUGUAGGAUUAGCUUGUUGGCGGGGUAAAGGCCCACCAAGGCGACGAUUCGUAGCUAGUCUGAGAGGAUGAUCAGCCACUGUGGAGCUGAGACGCGGUCCAGACUCCGACGUGAGGCAGCAGUGGGGAAUAUAGGACAAUGGGCGGAAGCCUGAACCAGCCAUACCGCGUGGGUGAAGAAGGCCUUCGGGUUGUAAGGCCGUUUUGUUGGGAAAGAAAAGCAGCAGGUUAAUACCCCGCUGUUCUGACGGUACGCGAAGAAUAGGCACGGGCAAACUUCUU